Molecule: ribosomal RNA, 394 nt
Filed under: uncultured bacterium
Lineage: Bacteria
Description: bacterial SSU rRNA
Rfam family: Bacterial small subunit ribosomal RNA
Source: RNAcentral
GACGAACGCUGGCGGCGUGCUUAACACAUGCAAGUCGAGCGGUAAGGCCCUUCGGGGUACACGAGCGGCGAACGGGUGAGUAACACGUGGGUGACCUGCCCUCCACUCUGGGAUAAGCCCGGGAAACUGGGUCUAAUACCGGAUAUGACCUCUGGAUGCAUGUCUGGUGGUGGAAAGCCUGGGUUGUAUGACUCUGGCGGUGGGGGAUGGGCCCGCGGUCUAUCAGCUUGNGGUGGGGUGAUGGCCUACCAAGGCGACGACGGAUAGCCGGCCUGAGAGGGUGAUCGGCCACACUGGGACUGAGACACGGCCCAGACUCCUACGGGAGGCAGCAGUGGGGAAUCUUGCGCAAUGGGCGGAAGCCUGACGCAGCAACGCCGCGUGGGGAUGACGG